RNAcentral lists this transfer-messenger RNA (357 nucleotides) under bacterium. RNAcentral's name for it is "GCA-002704045 sp002704045 Standard tmRNA". It matches the Rfam family "transfer-messenger RNA". From Rfam's summary of the family: Bacterial tmRNA, also known as 10Sa RNA or SsrA, is named for its dual tRNA and mRNA-like properties. Its role is to liberate the mRNA from a stalled ribosome. The record is from RNAcentral. RNAcentral also lists the same sequence under 1 other name.
GGGGGCGACCGGUUUCGACGGGUAUUAAUAUAUUUUUAGUUGCAUACCGAGCAAUCCUAGAAAACUCGUUAAAUGUCUAGUAAAAACAAUAAGUGCCAAUAAUGGCCAAAUUGCUUACGCUUAAUAAGUAGUAAGCCAUCUCAAUUAGAGUUUGUCUGUGACUUUUUUAUGAGGUGUCAUCUUUACAGACUAGUUUUGAUUUUUGUCUAAGAAAUCAUAAUGAAAAUUUAUUAGGCUCGCAUAGAGUGUGUUUGGUUAUUUUCAUUAUUUUAUGUUAAACUCAAAAAUAACAUAAGUAUGUAGAAACUAAUUAUCGAUUAUAUUCGGACGGGAGUUCGAUUCUCCCCGCCUCCACUU